GGGUGGUUAGUUUAGUGGCAGAACAGCGGUCUCCAAAACCGCUGGCGGGGGUUCGAUUCCCUCACCACCCG
This 71-nucleotide transfer RNA is filed under the name Candidatus Nomurabacteria bacterium. RNAcentral describes it as "tRNA-Trp". It matches the Rfam family "tRNA". Rfam says of the family: Transfer RNA (tRNA) molecules are approximately 80 nucleotides in length. Lineage: Bacteria; Candidatus Nomuraibacteriota. The record is from RNAcentral. RNAcentral also lists the same sequence under 1 other name.